UGCCCAGUACGGCGAGUGAGCGGCAAGAGCUCAAAUUUGAAAGCUGGCUCCUUCGGGGUCCGCAUUGUAAUUUGUAGAGGAUGCUUCGGGAGCGGUCCCCAUCUAAGUGCCCUGGAACGGGACGUCAUAGAGGGUGAGAAUCCCGUAUGGGAUGGGGUGUCCGCGCCCGUGUGAAGCUCCUUCGACGAGUCGAGUUGUUUGGGAAUGCAGCUCUAAAUGGGUGGUAAAUUUCAUCUAAAGCUAAAUAUUGGCCGGAGACCGAUAGCGCACAAGUAGAGUGAUCGAAAGAUGAAAAGCACUUUGAAAAGAGAGUUAAAAAGCACGUGAAAUUGUUGAAAGGGAAGCGCUUGCGACCAGACUCGCUCGCGGGGUUCAGCCGGCAUUCGUGCCGGUGUACUUCCCCGCGGGCGGGCCAGCGUCGGUUUGGGCGGUCGGUCAAAGGCCCUCGGAAGGUAACGCCCCUAGGGGCGUCUUAUAGCCGAGGGUGCAAUGCGACCUGCCUAGACCGAGGAACGCGCUUCGGCUCGGACGCUGGCAUAAUGGUCGUAAACGACCCGUCUUGAAACACGGACCAAGGAGUCUAACAUCUACGCGAGUGUUCGGGUGUCAAACCCGUGCGCGAAGUGAAAGCGAACGGAGGUGGGAACCCUCACGGGUGCACCAUCGACCGAUCCUGAAGUCUUCGGAUGGAUUUGAGUAAGAGCGUAGCUGUUGGGACCCGAAAGAUGGUGAACUAUGCCUGAAUAGGGCGAAGCCAGAGGAAACUCUGGUGGAGGCUCGUAGCGGUUCUGACGUGCAAAUCGAUCGUCGAAUUUGGGUAUAG
RNAcentral lists this ribosomal RNA (823 nucleotides) under Penicillium chrysogenum. RNAcentral describes it as "LSU rRNA". It matches the Rfam family "Eukaryotic large subunit ribosomal RNA", at positions 76 to 920 of the family's 3401-position model. Lineage: Eukaryota; Fungi; Ascomycota; Eurotiomycetes; Eurotiales; Aspergillaceae. The record is from RNAcentral.